RNAcentral lists this small RNA (172 nucleotides) under Arabidopsis thaliana (thale cress). RNAcentral describes it as "ATSL205520". The record is from RNAcentral. Lineage: Eukaryota; Viridiplantae; Streptophyta; Magnoliopsida; Brassicales; Brassicaceae.
AAAUUUAACAGCAGCAUCUCAAUCUUCAUCGGCGUUCAUCUUCUGCGACAGUUUUUCUCUCAUCACUGUACUUUCUUCUCUUUGCCUAAUUGUUUUUCUUCUUUUUUGCCGUUGCCGCUCCGUUAAGUAAAAGAACAUAGCCUAUCUUUAUAUAUGACAACUAAAACUUUGU